UACGUAGGUGGCAAGCGUUGUCCGGAUUUACUGGGCGUAAAGCGAGCGCAGGCGGACUGUUAAGUAGGAAGUGAAAGGUCGGAGCUCAACUCCAACAUUGCUUUCUAUACUGGCAGUCUUGAGUCACGGAGGGGAAAGCGGAACGACACGUGUAGCGGUGAAAUGCGUUGAUAUGUGUCGGAACACCAAUGGCGAAGGCAGCUUUCUGGACGAUGACUGACGCUCAGGCUCGAAAGCCAAGGUAGCGAACAGG
This 253-nucleotide ribosomal RNA is filed under the name uncultured bacterium. RNAcentral's name for it is "partial 16S ribosomal RNA". It matches the Rfam family "Bacterial small subunit ribosomal RNA", at positions 524 to 776 of the family's 1533-position model. The record is from RNAcentral.